RNAcentral lists this small nuclear RNA (182 nucleotides) under Salmo trutta (river trout). Its description in RNAcentral is "U2 spliceosomal RNA (ENSSTUG00000004104.1)". It matches the Rfam family "U2 spliceosomal RNA". Rfam says of the family: U2 is a small nuclear RNA (snRNA) component of the spliceosome (involved in pre-mRNA splicing). Complementary binding between U2 snRNA (in an area lying towards the 5' end but 3' to hairpin I) and the branchpoint sequence (BPS) of the intron results the bulging out of an unpaired adenosine, on the BPS, which initiates a nucleophilic attack at the intronic 5' splice site, thus starting the first of two transesterification reactions that mediate splicing. The record is from Rfam by way of RNAcentral. Lineage: Eukaryota; Metazoa; Chordata; Actinopteri; Salmoniformes; Salmonidae.
AAAACUUUUCCAAAAGAAAAAGAAAAAAAUCUGUUCUUAUCAGUUUAAUAUCUGAUACGUCCCCCAUCGGGGGACUACAUAUUAAAUGGAUUUUUCGAACAGGGAGUCGGAAAUGGGGCUUGCUCCGUCCGCUCCAAGCAUCGACCCGGUAUUGCAGUACCUCCGGGAACGGUGCAACACUU